UUGGAGGGCAAGUCUGGUGCCAGCAGCCGCGGUAAUUCCAGCUCCAAUAGCGUAUAUUAAAGUUGUUGCAGUUAAAAAGCUCGUAGUUGAAUUUCGGGAUUCAUCCGUUGGUCGGGCUUCACGGUCCGUACUGGUGUGAUGGGUUCCUACCUUCUGAAUAACCGGCAUGCCAUUAAUUUGGUGCGCGGGGGAAGCAGAACUAUUACCUUGAAAAAAUUAGAGUGCUUAAAGCAGGCAAGUGCCUGAAUAGGUUAGCAUGGAAUAAUAAAAUAGGACGGCAUGGUUCUAUUUUGUUGGUUUCUAGGAUCACCGUAAUGAUUAAUAGGGAUAGUUGGGGGCAUUAGUAUUCAAUUGUCAGAGGUGAAAUUCUUGGAUUUAUCGAAGACUAACUUCUGCGAAAGCAUUUGCCAAGGAUGUUUUCAUUAAUCAAGAACGAAAGUUAGGGGAUCGAAGACGAUCAGAUACCGUCGUAGUCUUAACCAUAAACUAUGCCGACUAGGGAUCGGACGAUGUUAAUUUUUCUUGACUCGUUCGGCGCCUUACGGGAAAC
Molecule: ribosomal RNA, 550 nt
Filed under: uncultured Glomeromycotina
Lineage: Eukaryota; Fungi; Glomeromycota
Description: SSU rRNA
Rfam family: Eukaryotic small subunit ribosomal RNA
Source: RNAcentral